This 253-nucleotide ribosomal RNA is filed under the name uncultured bacterium. RNAcentral's name for it is "partial 16S ribosomal RNA". It matches the Rfam family "Bacterial small subunit ribosomal RNA", at positions 524 to 776 of the family's 1533-position model. The record is from RNAcentral.
UACGUAGGGACCAAGCGUUGUUCGGAUUUACUGGGCGUAAAGGGCGCGUAGGCGGCGCGGUAAGUCACUUGUGAAAUCUCUGAGCUUAACUCAGAACGGCCAAGUGAUACUGCAGUGCUAGAGUGUGGAAGAGGCAAUCGGAAUUCUUGGUGUAGCGGUGAAAUGCGUAGAUAUCAAGAGGAACACCUGAGGUGAAGACGGGUUACUGGGCCAACACUGACGCUGAGGCGCGAAAGCCAGGGGAGCAAACGGG